Molecule: ribosomal RNA, 560 nt
Filed under: uncultured bacterium
Lineage: Bacteria
Description: bacterial SSU rRNA
Rfam family: Bacterial small subunit ribosomal RNA
Source: RNAcentral
CCUACGGGAGGCAGCAGUAGGGAAUCUUGGACAAUGGGCGCAAGCCUGAUCCAGCCAUGCCGCGUGAGUGAAGAAGGCCUUAGGGUCGUAAAGCUCUUUCGCCUGUGAUGAUAAUGACAGUAGCAGGUAAAGAAACCCCGGCUAACUCCGUGCCAGCAGCCGCGGUAAUACGGAGGGGGUCAGCGUUGUUCGGAAUUACUGGGCGUAAAGCGCGCGUAGGCGGAUUGGAAAGUUAGAGGUGAAAUCCCGGGGCUCAACCCCGGAACGGCCUUUAAAACUCCCAGUCUAGAGUUCGAGAGAGGUGAGUGGAAUUCCAAGUGUAGAGGUGAAAUUCGUAGAUAUUUGGAGGAACACCAGUGGCGAAGGCGGCUCACUGGCUCGAUACUGACGCUGAGGUGCGAAAGUGUGGGGAGCAAACAGGAUUAGAUACCCUGGUAGUCCACACCGUAAACGAUGAAUGCCAGUCGUCGGAUAGUAUACUAUUCGGUGACACACCUAACGGAUUAAGCAUUCCGCCUGGGGAGUACGGUCGCAAGAUUAAAACUCAAAGGAAUUGACGG